RNAcentral lists this ribosomal RNA (259 nucleotides) under uncultured bacterium. RNAcentral's name for it is "partial 16S ribosomal RNA". It matches the Rfam family "Bacterial small subunit ribosomal RNA", at positions 96 to 354 of the family's 1533-position model. The record is from RNAcentral.
UGGCGGACGGGUGAGUAACGCGUGGAAACCUGCCGUAUACGUGGGGGAUAACACUUAGAAAUAGGUGCUAAUACCGCAUAAGCGCACAGCUUCGCAUGAAGCGGUGUAGAAAAACUCUGGUGGUAUACGAUGGUUCCGCGUCUGAUUAGCUAGUUGGUGGGGUAAUGGCCUACCAAGGCAACGAUCAGUAGCCGGCCUGAGAGGGUGAACGGCCACAUUGGGACUGAGACACGGCCCAAACUCCUACGGAAGGCAGCAG